AUUGAACGCUGGCGGCAUGCCUUACACAUGCAAGUCGAACGGCAGCACGGGAGCAAUCCUGGUGGCGAGUGGCGAACGGGUGAGUAAUAUAUCGGAACGUGCCCAGUCGUGGGGGAUAACGUAGCGAAAGCUACGCUAAUACCGCAUACUAUCUAUGGAUGAAAGCGGGGGAUCGCAAGACCUCGCGCGAUUGGAGCGGCCGAUAUCAGAUUAGGUAGUUGGUGAGGUAAAGGCUCACCAAGCCGACGAUCUGUAGCUGGUCUGAGAGGACGACCAGCCACACUGGGACUGAGACACGGCCCAGACUCCUACGGGAGGCAGCAGUGGGGGAAUUUUUGGGACAAUGGGCGCAAGCCUGAUCCAGCAAUGCCGCGUGCAGGAUGAAAGGGUCUUCGGGUUGUAAACUGCUUUUGUACGGAACGAAACGGUGAGCUCUAAUACAGUUU
Molecule: ribosomal RNA, 446 nt
Filed under: uncultured bacterium
Lineage: Bacteria
Description: bacterial SSU rRNA
Rfam family: Bacterial small subunit ribosomal RNA
Source: RNAcentral